UGCUUGUUUCAUGUCCCCCACUGGGCCUCUGUGUUGGUGCAGUGAAGUCCUCGGAGAGGGGACUGUGACAGGAGGAGGUGUCCUUGUCCUUAUUGCACGGGGGGGAGGUGUUCUAGAACAGAGUUGUAUUCUCAAGCCCAGCUACUCGAAGCAGAACAUUCCUUCCCAGAACUAUUUCUGUUGGUCACUGCGUACUUGUCCACUCACCAGUGAAAUCAUUUCUCCAUUGAUGGUGUUAUCUUUGUGUGCAUGACCCUAGAGAAUGUAGCAUAUCGCAGAAAACCCACUACACUGCAGACUCUUAGAGGAAUUGAAAAUGCAUGUGCAGCAAUCUAAAUGACCAAGGUUACCCAAGCAGCAGUUCACCGUACUAAUAAAUGUCUGGAAGCUACUGGUCACCACUUUGAAGACCUCUUGUAAUUGCAGAGGCCAAAGAUGACUUCUGUUAAUCUCAUGAUGUCUCAAUAAAUU
Molecule: long non-coding RNA, 471 nt
Filed under: Fukomys damarensis (Damara mole-rat)
Lineage: Eukaryota; Metazoa; Chordata; Mammalia; Rodentia; Bathyergidae
Description: lncRNA (ENSFDAG00000023973.1)
Source: RNAcentral